AACGAACGCUGGCGGCAGGCCUAACACAUGCAAGUCGAACGCUCCGCAAGGAGAGUGGCAGACGGGUGAGUAACACGUGGGAAUCUUCCUAUCGGUACGGAAUAGCUCAGGGAAACUUGAGGUAAUACCGCAUACGCCCUUCGGGGGAAAGAUUUAUCGCCGAUAGAUGAGCCCGCGUCUGAUUAGCUAGUUGGUGAGGUAACGGCUCACCAAGGCGACGAUCAGUAGCUGGUCUGAGAGGAUGACCAGCCACACUGGGACUGAGACACGGCCCAGGCUCCUACGGGAGGCAGCGGUGGGGAAUAUUGGACAAUGGGCGCAAGCCUGAUCCAGCCAUGCCGCGUGAGUGACGAAGGUCUUCGGAUUGUAAAGCUCUUUUGGCGGGGACGAUAAUGACGGUACCCGCAGAAUAAGCCCCGGCUAACUUCGUGCCAGCCGCCGCCGUAA
RNAcentral lists this ribosomal RNA (447 nucleotides) under uncultured bacterium. RNAcentral's name for it is "partial 16S ribosomal RNA". It matches the Rfam family "Bacterial small subunit ribosomal RNA", at positions 29 to 523 of the family's 1533-position model. The record is from RNAcentral.